RNAcentral lists this transfer RNA (73 nucleotides) under Candidatus Yanofskyibacteriota bacterium. RNAcentral's name for it is "Candidatus Yanofskybacteria bacterium tRNA-Thr". It matches the Rfam family "tRNA". From Rfam's summary of the family: Transfer RNA (tRNA) molecules are approximately 80 nucleotides in length. Their secondary structure includes four short double-helical elements and three loops (D, anti-codon, and T loops). Further hydrogen bonds mediate the characteristic L-shaped molecular structure. tRNAs have two regions of fundamental functional importance: the anti-codon, which is responsible for specific mRNA codon recognition, and the 3' end, to which the tRNAs corresponding amino acid is attached (by aminoacyl-tRNA synthetases). tRNAs cope with the degeneracy of the genetic code in two manners: having more than one tRNA (with a specific anti-codon) for a particular amino acid; and 'wobble' base-pairing, i.e. permitting non-standard base-pairing at the 3rd anti-codon position. The record is from RNAcentral. RNAcentral also lists the same sequence under 3 other names. Lineage: Bacteria; Candidatus Yanofskyibacteriota.
GCCGUUGUAGCUCAGAUGGUAGAGCAACUCCAUGGUAAGGAGUAGGUCGCCGGUUCGAUUCCGGCCAACGGCU